Molecule: ribosomal RNA, 267 nt
Filed under: uncultured prokaryote
Description: partial 16S ribosomal RNA
Rfam family: Bacterial small subunit ribosomal RNA
Source: RNAcentral
UACGGAGGAUCCGAGCGUUAUCCGGAUUUAUUGGGUUUAAAGGGUGCGCAGGCGGAAGAUUAAGUCGGUGGUGAAAUUUUGCAGCUCAACUGUAAAAGUGCCAUUGAUACUGGUUUUCUUGAGUGUGGAUGAAGUAGGCGGAAUUUGUGGUGUAGCGGUGAAAUGCAUAGAUAUCACGAGGAACUCCGAUUGCGCAGGCAGCUUACUAAACUACUACUGACGCUCAGGCACGAAGGCGUGGGGAGUCAAACAGGAUUAGAUACCCCU